GGAACAUGGCGUCAUAGAGGGUGAGAAUCCCGUAUGCGACUGUGGCUCGAGCCCAUGUGAAGCCUCUUCGACGAGUCGAGUUGUUUGGGAAUGCAGCUCAAAAUGGGUGGUAAAUUUCAUCUAAAGCUAAAUACUGGCUGGAGACCGAUAGCGCACAAGUAGAGUGAUCGAAAGAUGAAAAGCACUUUGGAAAGAGAGUCAAACAGUACGUGAAAUUGUUGAAAGGGAAGCGCUUGCAACCAGACCUGUCCGUAGGUGAUCAGCCGCUGUUCUCAGUGGUGCACUCGCUCUGCGAUCAGGCCAGCAUCGGUUCUGGCGGUCGGAUAAAGGCCUUGGGAAUGUAGCUCCCUCCUCCCUCCGGGGAGUCUUAUAGCCCUCGGUGCAAUGCGGCCAGCUGGGACCGAGGACCGCGCUUCGGCUAGGAUGCUGGCGUAAUGGUUGUAAGCGACCCGUCUUGAAACACGGACCAAGGAGUCUACAACUUAUGCGAGUGUUUGGGUGUUAAACCCAUACGCGGAAUGAAAGUGAACGGAGGUGAGAACCCUUGAAGGGCGCAUCAUCGACCGAUCCAGAUGUCUUCGGAUGGAUUUGAGUAUGAGCAUAAUUCGUGGGACCCGAAAGAUGGUGAACUAUGCCUGAAUAGGGUGAAGCCAGAGGAAACUCUGGUGGAGGCUCGCAGCGGUUCUGACGUGCAAAUCGAUCGUCAAAUUUGGGUAUAGGGGCGAAAGACUAAUCGAACCAUCUAGUAGCUGGUUCCUGCCGAAGUUUCCCUCAG
RNAcentral lists this ribosomal RNA (775 nucleotides) under Vulpicida tubulosus. Its description in RNAcentral is "LSU rRNA". It matches the Rfam family "Eukaryotic large subunit ribosomal RNA", at positions 192 to 976 of the family's 3401-position model. Lineage: Eukaryota; Fungi; Ascomycota; Lecanoromycetes; Lecanorales; Parmeliaceae. The record is from RNAcentral.